RNAcentral lists this ribosomal RNA (445 nucleotides) under uncultured bacterium. Its description in RNAcentral is "bacterial SSU rRNA". It matches the Rfam family "Bacterial small subunit ribosomal RNA", at positions 338 to 796 of the family's 1533-position model. The record is from RNAcentral.
CCUACGGGUGGCUGCAGUCGAGAAUCUUCCGCAAUGGGCGAAAGCCUGACGGAGCGACACCGCGUGAUUGAUGAAGUGCUUCGGUAUGUAAAGAUCUUUUAUAGGGGAAAAAGUUUAUUGAUGGUACCCUAUGAAUAAGGACCUGCCAAACUCGUGCCAGCAGCAGCGGUAAUACGAGUGGUCCAAGCGUUAUCCGGAAUUAUUGGGCGUAAAGGGUGCGAAGAUGGAAUUAAUAGUCGAGUGUUUAACCCAUGGGCUCAACCUGUGGAUUGCAUUCGAAACGUUAAUUCUUGAGGUUGUUAGGGGUUAGCAGAACUCAUAGUGUAGGGGUGAAAUCCGUUGAUAUUAUGGGGAAUACCAAAAGCGAAGGCAGCUAACUAGAGCACACCUGACAUUAUAGCACGAAAGCGUGGGUAGCGAAUGGGAUUAGAUACCCCGGUAGUCC